RNAcentral lists this unclassified non-coding RNA (268 nucleotides) under Hevea brasiliensis (rubber tree). Lineage: Eukaryota; Viridiplantae; Streptophyta; Magnoliopsida; Malpighiales; Euphorbiaceae. The record is from RNAcentral.
GAAAGAUCUUCUUCGGAUAAUCAAUGCAGCGCUCAAUGACGAGCUCUUCUUCAGCAUGGCAAACCACACAUUAACAGUUGUUGAAGUUGAUGCUGUUUAUGUGAAACCUUUUGAAGCUGAGACCAUUCUGAUUACUCCUGGACAAACUACAUAUGUUCUUUUAAAAACCAAGUCUCAAUAUCCAAAUGCCUCAUUUUUUUCAUGACUGCUAGACCCUAUGUAACUGGCCUAGGCACUUUUGACAGCACAUCUGUCGCUGGGAUUUUAG